This is an RNA transcript of Oncorhynchus tshawytscha (Chinook salmon), 2297 nucleotides long. It is a transcript of the gene named proline-rich protein 29-like, with no coding region annotated. NCBI's taxonomy places the organism in Eukaryota, Metazoa, Chordata, Actinopteri, Salmoniformes, Salmonidae. The record is from RefSeq and is a predicted model, not a curated record. The transcript has 7 exons.
AUCCGCGUGGGAGACAGUGACAGCAUAUAGGAGAAGGAAAGAAGAGAGAAACACUGAGGAGGAGAACGGAGAUAGCGAGAGUCAGAGCGAAAAACUCGUCAAAUGAAAGCUGUAAUUAGUGGUCUAUGAAGUGAAAGAGAGCUGGCCCAGGUUUAUCCCAGGUGUCCGUAAUUUAGCCCACUCAAUUUAGAGUGAGAGACCUACGUAGCGGCGGCCCACCUGUUCCCUGCCCCUCCCGUCAACAUUGAUGCAUGCGACCAUAUGGAUUUGUCAAGCUUAUUGUCUAGGCGCGGGAAAUCCCAAUUAUAGGCUACUUUUGUGAAUUCACUCACUUCGCUAUAUGGAAGAAGGCUACCUUUGUGCCACAGCUGUCAAAAUCAAUUCAAGUGUGACCACCUCAUUUGCUCUUUUAGAAACGUUUAGAACUCGAUUAUAUCAUACAGGCCUAAAUGCUAAGAAAAUAGAUGUGAUAGAGAGAGUGACUAAUUAGUCCUAGUUUAAAUAUCCCAUAGCAGCAUAAUCAUUACAGUAAGUGACGCACCAGCCUAUGUGUGCGCAACAACCUGCGCAUAUUUCUCGCACUUGUUGUUUGCGCUUUGAAACCUUGGCAACCCAACUGGUGAGUGUAUACUCCAAGCCUGGGUUGGAUCAAAACAAGGUUUAUCUUCAGUCACUGUUUACAGCUCAAUAUUUUUUUUUUUUACCGACAUAUGAAACUCAAUGGCAGGGACAGAUGAUACUGACCCACAGUUUCAGCAGUGGAACCAGGACGCACAGAAUGUGCAGAUAAUUCAACAGCCUGCUUCCCAGCAGCCCACAACCAUCCUCCAGCAGCUCCCUGCUGCUGUGUCAUCUCCCACUCACUCCAUCCGGCCAGGACACGUUAAGCAGGGUGCCAGCUGGACCUAAGGGCCAGAGCUCAACCAUCUAUAAUGGCGGUCAAGGCUCUUUAUGGCACUCCUUCUCCCCCUCUAGCCUCAUUGUCUGUCUGUUGGUCGCUCAGGCCAGGGCAGUGAUUGUUUGCUCUGACUGACAUCCUUCUGGCUGACCUUUCUGCUCUUCUUACUUUCAACUCACUUAUAUUGAGACCUGGUGGAGCUGAUGAUGAUCCAAAAUGCUCAGAUGCACCAGGUCAUCAUGAACAACAUGACCAUGUCAGCCCUCAGCUCAUUUGGCCAUUCCCAGUUCCACCCUCCGUCUACCUCUGAGGAGGAGGAUCCAGAGGUGUACCACUACCAUUACCAGCCUACCUGCCCUACCCAACCUGGUUGCCUCCACCCCUGCCUCACCCUAGCCUGGUCUACCGCAACACCCCUGAACCCCUAGAGCUAGCACCCUCACCACACAGAGACACCACCAGGAGGGCGGUCCCACCUCCUCCCCCACCCAGCGCUACCAGGACUGUGGGGGCUGACGUCCCUCCAGCAACAGAUUACUAUGAUGCUGCGGAGAGAAGACAGUGACAAGAAGAGCAGAAAUCUACAGCAUCCAUUCAUCGUUAGCCUUGUUUUUACAAGAUGGAAUCAUUCUAAACGUGUCACAGUAAACAGAACUACAUUUCAUUUCUCCAUGUUUUAAUGUGUGUCUUUUUAGAUUUGUUAUUUCAAGUAAAGAAAAGGCCAAGAUCAUCAUUGUUCAGCAUUGUUCAAUGUUUUUAAGCUCACUUCCAGACUUGUACUGUAGCUCAGUUGGUAGAGCAUGGCACUUCUAACACUAGGGUUGUGGGUUUGAAUCCCGACACCAACCAUACAUAAAAUGUAUGACCAUAAGUCGCUUUGGAUAUAUGCCUGCUAAAUGACAUAUAUUAUAGUCGUUUUGGCCUUAUUUUUUACAUGCAUUACACAAAAUACCCAGCAGGGUGCAGCAUCAUCUAUGUAAUGACAAAGUCAGAGGGCGCUUUUCUGUGAUUGUGAGUUAGUUUUUAGCAGGUUGACAUUUAUUGUCACGAAUCUUGAUCUGGAGGCAGCUCUGCAGAGAGGUCACAAGCUAACACAGACAAAGUCAUAAAAUCAGUUUUUAAACCUAACAUUAACCACACUGCUAACCCUAAUGCCUAGCCUUAAAUUAAGACCAGAAAGCUAAUUUUUGUAUUCAUACAUGUUUGCGAUUUAGACAAUUUUGACUUUGCAACUGGCCCAUCUUGCGGAAAUUGCUCAGUUUUGCCUACAGAGCAAGAUUCAUGACAAUAAAUGUCAAGCUGCUUGUUUAUAUUAAUGUCUAUCAGCAUGUCACUUGUUAUUUCAGUGAGUUUCUGGCAAGUUCAUAUGUACACUACAUGACCAAAAGUAUGUGGACAU